This 691-nucleotide ribosomal RNA is filed under the name Eunapius sp. NHMUK 2009.12.22.13. RNAcentral describes it as "eukaryotic LSU rRNA". The stretch from base 313 to 691 matches the Rfam family "Eukaryotic large subunit ribosomal RNA", at positions 1 to 370 of the family's 3401-position model. Lineage: Eukaryota; Metazoa; Porifera; Demospongiae; Spongillida; Spongillidae. The record is from RNAcentral.
CAUCGAGUCUUUGAACGCAAAUUGCGCCCUCGGUUUGAAGCCGGGGGCACGUCUGUCUGAGCGUCCGUUUCGUUUAAGUCCAUCCCGAACACAAGCGUCGGGACGGCGAGUUGAGGUGUCGUUCCGCGAGGGGCGUCCCUUGAAGUGCGAAGCGCCGCGGUUGCGUAGGCCUCUCCUCUCGAGUGUCCUUCCACCUUGCGCGUCGGGAACUCGACGAUGACAAGGAGGUCGGCCUCGACUGCGAGGACUUUUCGUUUCCGGGCGAAGAAUAUUUUGGUUUUACCAAAGGAGCGGCCACCCCGCUUCCAUCCUGGACCUCAGCUCAGGCGUGACUACCCGCUGAAUUUAAGCAUAUCAAUAAGCGGAGGAAAAGAAACCAACAGGGAUUCCCCCAGUAACGGCGAGCGAAGCGGGAAUAGCUCGAGCCUUAAAUCUCCGGUGAGCAACCGGCGAAUUGUAGCCGAGAGAGGCACCUGCGCUCGGUUGGUCGGUCGGCCAAAGUUGACCUGGAAUGGCGCGUCAUAGAGGGUGAGAACCCCGUACGCGGCCGAUUGGCUGCCGAGAUAUUAGGUGUCUUUGGAGAGUCAGGUUGUUUGGGAAUGCAGCCCAAAGUGGGUGGUAAACUCCACCUAAAGCUAAAUAUUAAGCACGAGACCGAUAGCAAACAAGUACCGUGAGGGAAAGGUGAAAA